RNAcentral lists this ribosomal RNA (724 nucleotides) under Virgibacillus pantothenticus. RNAcentral's name for it is "bacterial SSU rRNA". It matches the Rfam family "Bacterial small subunit ribosomal RNA", at positions 553 to 1277 of the family's 1533-position model. Lineage: Bacteria; Bacillati; Bacillota; Bacilli; Caryophanales; Bacillaceae. The record is from RNAcentral.
AUUGGGCGUAAAGCGCGCGCAGGCGGUCCUUUAAGUCUGAUGUGAAAGCCCACGGCUUAACCGUGGAGGGCCAUUGGAAACUGGGGGACUNGAGUACAGAAGAGGAGAGUGGAAUUCCACGUGUAGCGGUGAAAUGCGUAGAGAUGUGGAGGAACACCAGUGGCGAAGGCGACUCUCUGGUCUGUAACUGACGCUGAGGUGCGAAAGCGUGGNUAGCGAACAGGAUUAGAUACCCUGGUAGUCCACGCCGUAAACGAUGAGUGCUAGGUGUUAGGGGGUUUCCGCCUCUUAGUGCUGAAGUUAACGCAUUAAGCACUCCGCCUGGGGAGUACGGCCGCAAGGCUGAAACUCAAAAGAAUUGACGGGGACCCGCACAAGCGGUGGAGCAUGUGGUUUAAUUCGAAGCAACGCGAAGAACCUUACCAGGUCUUGACAUCCUCUGACGCCCCUAGAGAUAGGGAGUUCCCUUCGGGGACAGAGUGACAGGUGGUGCAUGGUUGUCGNCAGCUCGUGUCGUGAGAUGUUGGGUUAAGUCCCGCAACGAGCGCAACCCUUGAUCUUAGUNGCCAGCAUCUAGNUGGGCACUCUAAGGUGACUGCCGGUGACAAACCGGAGGAAGGUGGGGAUGACGUCAAAUCAUCAUGCCCCUUAUGACCUGGGCUACACACGUGCUACAAUGGAUGGAACAAAGGGCAGCGAAGCCGCGAGGCCAAGCAAAUCCCAU